ACUCUUUGCAUAUCACGGUUCUUUCCCAAGAACCGUGAGGACAGAGCCGCCCUACUCCGAACCUUCAGCUUUCUUGGCUUUGAGAUUGUGAGACCCGGGCAUCCCCUCGUCCCCAAGAGACCCGACGCUUGCUUCAUGGUCUACACGCUGGAGAGAGAGGACCCGGGUGAGGAGGACUAGGUGCCAGCCCUGCCCAGUGUCCCUGCGCCCUCUCCCGGGUUUGUCCACAUGUCGUGAUUGUGCAGAAUAAACGCUCACUCCAUUAGCGGGGUGCUUCUUCGAGCUGAAUGCUGUGUUUGUCACACUCAAGUGUUGGCUUUAAUUCUAAAUAAAGGUUUCUAUUUUACUUUUU
Non-coding RNA from Arvicanthis niloticus (Nile rat), 352 nucleotides. The record is from RefSeq and is a predicted model, not a curated record. NCBI's taxonomy places the organism in Eukaryota, Metazoa, Chordata, Mammalia, Rodentia, Muridae.